Long non-coding RNA from Rhinichthys klamathensis goyatoka, 412 nucleotides. RefSeq lists it as uncharacterized. The transcript is spliced from 3 exons. The record is from RefSeq and is a predicted model, not a curated record. Lineage: Eukaryota; Metazoa; Chordata; Actinopteri; Cypriniformes; Leuciscidae.
ACUAUCAAUAGAGGCUUUGAGCAUGCAGUGAAACCAUUCCCUUGUUCCCCUAUGGUGCAAUGAUACAUUGUAAGAGCUGUGAAUGGAACUGUCCAGUCAUACUGCUAACAUAAUUCAAAGAGGGUAACAGCACUGAAACUUCUCAAGUUAACAGAAACCAGUUAUUUGAAUUACCACAGAGAUUAAAACUGAGUAAGCAGAGUAGUUACAACCUGUUGUAAUCUCGAGAAUCAGAAGAAGUGUUCCUCCUCCACUGGCUUCAAAACGAGUCUUGUUGGGAGAGGAAAUCACAAGUGUGUUUGACUCUGCCCCCUCCUUGCAGCCGUUGGCCCCUUGCCGUGGCCAUUAGGAAGAUUCUCAGUCUUACUGGAGCAAUGACAGACGAAAACCGUUAAGAGAAAAUGUCUCUGAG